AUGGGGAAACAGUCGUCGGGCUUGAACAAGCGCUGGAUAGCACCACCGGUUGACUUGAUGAAGCUAAAUGUCGAUGGGGGAGUGGCGAAAGUACAGAACAAAGGAGCAGCAGCGGUGGUAUGUCAAAAUGCAGAUGGAGUGUACCAAGGAUCGCCAGCUCGUGUUUAUGAUGAUAUAACAGAUCCUCGGAUGCUUGAGGCUCUUGCUUGCUACGAAGCUAUGGCCCUAGCUAAAGACCUCAACAUUCAAAAGUUGCGGAUUGCAUCUAAUGCUUCUGUUGUGAUCUAG
RNAcentral lists this ribosomal RNA (288 nucleotides) under Triticum aestivum (bread wheat). RNAcentral's name for it is "partial small subunit ribosomal RNA". Lineage: Eukaryota; Viridiplantae; Streptophyta; Magnoliopsida; Poales; Poaceae. The record is from RNAcentral.